Long non-coding RNA from Leptopilina heterotoma, 334 nucleotides. RefSeq lists it as uncharacterized. The transcript is spliced from 2 exons. The record is from RefSeq and is a predicted model, not a curated record. NCBI's taxonomy places the organism in Eukaryota, Metazoa, Arthropoda, Insecta, Hymenoptera, Figitidae.
CCCAUUUAUUUAUAUUAAUUAUAUUAGUUUUUAUUACUGCAAAAUGUUAUUUUUAUAAUUUUCAACAAAAUAAAACUUACUGCCCUGUAUUAUGAUACUGUUAUGCCUUUACGUAGGCAACCCCGCUUUACUCCACCUUCUGUUGUGCGGCCAUUUUUUCCCCAUAUCAAGCCAACUACAUCUGUAAAUUGUCAUCGUAAUAACCAUAUUGUGGCUAGUAGAAACAUCGUAUCGAGACAAAUGAUCAAAGUGGAAAAUUACACGAAACAUACUGGACAGUGGGGGAGAGUGGGUUGGCAACACUUGACAGUUCCCGACCUCCAACGCCGUUAAA